This 77-nucleotide non-coding RNA is filed under the name Bacillus anthracis str. Tsiankovskii-I. The record is from RNAcentral. RNAcentral also lists the same sequence under 2 other names. Lineage: Bacteria; Bacillati; Bacillota; Bacilli; Caryophanales; Bacillaceae.
UCCACAAAAAAAGAAAGCAUGCAAAUCGUUUCCGUUUGCAUGCUUUUUUUAUGCGCUUGCUGAUUCCUUUUUCACAU